CGCAAACUGCUCAAUGCCGGGCGCCCCCCCAGGAGGAAGGCAUUCCCCGGGGCAGACCUCAGGCUUCAUCACCGAACCGCGGGGGGCCACCAGGAUACGAUCCCCUGGUGUUCCCCCCCCGAACCGAGUUCAACCGGGUGGUGGGUCCUCCCUGACCCAGUACCGAAGCUACCGCGCAAACUUGGCCGCCUGGGGAGUCCGGCGCCCAAGGUGAAAACUCAAAGGAAAUGGCGGGGACCCGCCCAAGCGGGGGAUGAUGUGGUUUAAUUCGAUGCAACGCGAAAAACCUUACCCACCUUUGACAUGUACGGAAUCCUUUAGAGAUAGAGGAGUGCUCGAAAGAGAGCCGUAACACAGGUGCUGCAUGGCUGUCGUCAGCUCGUGUCGUGAGAUGUUGGGUUAAGUCCCGCAACGAGCGCAACCCUUGUCAUUAGUUGCUACAUUCAGUUGGGCACUCUAAUGAGACUGCCGGUGACAAACCGGAGGAAGGUGGGGAUGACGUCAAGUCCUCAUGGCCCUUAUAGGUGGGGCUACACACGUCAUACAAUGGCUGGUACAGAGGGUUGCCAACCCGCGAGGGGGAGCCAAUCCCACAAAGCCAGUCGUAGUCCGGAUCGCAGUCUGCAACUCGACUGCGUGAAGUCGGAAUCGCUAGUAAUCGCGGAUCAGAAUGUCGCGGUGAAUACGUUCCCGGGUCUUGUACACACCGCCCGUCACACCAUGGGAGCGGGUUCUGCCAGAAGUAGGUAGCCUAACCGUAAGGAGGGCGCUUACCACGGCAGGGUUCGUGACUGGGGUGAAGUCGUAACAAGGUAAAUGCAGA
Molecule: ribosomal RNA, 823 nt
Filed under: uncultured Acidovorax sp.
Lineage: Bacteria; Pseudomonadati; Pseudomonadota; Betaproteobacteria; Burkholderiales; Comamonadaceae
Description: bacterial SSU rRNA
Rfam family: Bacterial small subunit ribosomal RNA
Source: RNAcentral